RNAcentral lists this long non-coding RNA (435 nucleotides) under Homo sapiens (human). RNAcentral describes it as "non-protein coding lnc-CHD2-15:1". The record is from RNAcentral. Lineage: Eukaryota; Metazoa; Chordata; Mammalia; Primates; Hominidae.
AUGAAGUUCAAUCGCUUGGUGACCUGGGACCACAGCAAAAACUGCAAACGUCACUUCAAUGCCCCCUCGCAGGUAUGCAGGAAGGUCAUGUCGUCCCUGCUCUCCAAAGAGCUGAGCAGAAAUACAAUGUCUGCUCCAUGCCCAUCUGCAAGGACCACGAGGUCCAGGUGGUUUGAGGACACUACAGAGGUUAACAAAUUGGCAAGUAGUCAAGUUGUACAGAAAGAAAUAUGUCCUCUACAUUGAGCAGGUGCAGUGUGAGAGGGCCAACGGCACCACCAUCCCUGUGGGCCUUCACUUGAGCAAGGUGGCUCUCACCAGGCCAAAACUGGACAAGGAUCAGAAAAAAUUCUUGAAUGCAAAGCCAAGUCUUGACAAGUUGGAAAAGAGACAGGCAAAUAUAAGGAAGAACUUAUUGAGAAAAUGCAGGAAUGA